CUUUGAUCUGCAAUUAUUCCUUGUAUCAACUGAAGGCAGACAGAUUCAUGUGCAAAGGGCCCAUCUGAAUUUUUUUAUGCCAUUGUUAUUUUAGUGAAAAGUAGACCUAAUUUGCUGAUCUGUGAUAUGAUCUCAGAAUGGAUUAGCAUGUCUUGUGUGCAAAUGUUAAAAAGGCUGGUGUUUUUCAGACUUGAAAUGCAGAGACCUGGAUCAUUAUCGUGAAAAAUGUGAGACAAAGGUUAACCGGCGAUUGGAGGAGAGGGAGAUUGUUUGUCAAAGCAGGACCAGCUGGGAUUCUCUGGCUGACUCCCAGGCGCAACUGUGAAGCAGCGGAUAUUGGGUGCUCUCCCACCUCGUCAGGAGCAGCGUUCUCCUGUCUGUUCCUGGCAUCUCACAGCAUCCUGUGCCCUGCUAAGGUGUUA
RNAcentral lists this long non-coding RNA (422 nucleotides) under Cricetulus griseus (Chinese hamster). RNAcentral's name for it is "lncRNA (ENSCGRG00000025570.1)". The record is from RNAcentral. Lineage: Eukaryota; Metazoa; Chordata; Mammalia; Rodentia; Cricetidae.